GUAGAAUCGAGGUUUUGCCAUGUUGGCCACGUUGGUCUCGAAUUCCUGACCUCAGUUGAUCCGCCCAUCUCAGCCUCCCAAAGUGCUGGGAUUUCAAGCGUUAGCCACCGCACUCGACCAAAUGACACUGUCUUAAAUGAUUUAAUGUCUUAAAUCGGGAAAGGAGAGUAAGAGAAAGCACUCAAUGGAGUCAGAGGUGUCUUGCAGCCUAGCUCUUUCCACAGACAAGCCACAUGGGCCUAUCAUCUAACCUUUUCAAACUUCUCCAACUGCUUCUGUGAUGGAGGGAUUUGGGCUAGAGGAUCUUUUUAUUUUAUUUUAUUUUAUUUUAUUUUGGUGACAGAGUCUCACACUGUCGCCCGGGCUGAAGUGCAGUGGCACAAUCUCAGCUUGCUGCAACCUCUUUCUCCUGGGUUCAUGCGAUUCUCCCGCCUCAGCCUCCCAACUAGCUGGGAUUACAGGCGCACACCACCACACCUGGCUUAUUUUUUGUGUUUUUAGUAGAGACGGAGUUUCACUAUGUUGGCCAGACUGGUCUCGAACUCCUGACCUCGUGAUCCGCCCACCUCGGCCUCCCAAAGUGCUGUGAUUACAGGCAUGAGCCACCGCGCCUGGCCGAUGAUCCCAUUUUUCAAAGUAGGCUGGGUGCGGUAGCUCACGCCUGUAAUCCCAGCACUCUGGGAGGCUAAGGCGGGUGGAUCACUUGAGGCCAGCAGUUCGAGACCAGCCUGGCCAACAUGGUGAAACCCCGUGUCUACUAAAAAUACAAAAAUUAGCUCGGCAUAGUGGUACGUACCUGUACUUUCAGCUACUUGGGAGGUUGAGACAGGAGAAUUUUGCUUGAACCCAGGAGGCGGAGGUUGCAGUGAGCCAAGAUGGCACCACUGCACUCCAUUCUGGGUGACAGAGUGAGACCCUGUCUCAAAAAUAAUGAUAAUAAAAUAAAAGUAAUUAUUUAAGGCUGGGAGCGGUGGCUCACGCCUGUAAUCACAGCAUUUUGGGAGGCCGAGGCGGUGGAUCAUGAGGUCAGGAGGUCGAGACCAUCCUGUCUUAACACGGUGAAACCCUGUCUCUACUAAAAAUACAAAAAAAUUAGCCAGGCGUGGUGGCGGGCGCCUGUAGUCCCAGCUACUCGGGAGGCUAAGGCAGGAGAAUCGCUUGAACCCAGGAGGCGGAGGUUGCAGUGAGCCGAGAUCACACCACUGCACUCCAGCCUGGGUGACAGAGCGAGACUCCGUCUCAAAAAAAAUAAUUAUUAUUUAAAAUAAUCAUUGGGCCUGGCGCGGUGGCUCACACCUGUAAUCCUAGCACUUUGGGAGGCCAAGGCGGGUGGAUCACGAGGUCAGGAGAUUGAGAUCCAGCCUGGCCAACAUGGUGAAACCCCAUCUCUGCUAAAAAUAUUUUUUAAAUUAGCUGAGCGUGGUGGUGGGCACCUGUAAUCCCAGCUAGUCGGGAGACUGAGGCAGGAGAAUCGCUUGAACCUGGGAGUCGAAGGUUGCAGUGAGCCGAGGUCGUGCCACUGCAGUCCACCUGGCCAACACAGCAGGCCUCUCUCUAAAAUAAUAAUUAUUAUUAUUGUUAUUCUUGACAGGCCAGUGUAGAACAGGUGGGGCAUCUGUGGUAUGACAGAACUGGGUUCCAAUUCUGUCCCUUCACCUGUCCCAGGUUCCUCAUCUGAAAACUGUGACCCAGUAAACCUAAUUUCAUGAGCAGCUUUCAUUAAAAUUGAAAUAAUGUUGGAAAAUGCCUUGUAACCGUGCUUGAUAUAGAGUAGUUACUUAGCCAGUUAUUUCCUCUCUUCUUCCAAUUCCUAACAAAAUGGAAAAACGUUUGGUUGCUAGGAAAGAGCUCUAAGGGGAUUUUGUUGUUGUUUGAGACAAAGUUUGGCUCUAUCGCCCAGGAUGGAGUGCAAUGGCACAAUCUCUGCUCACUGCAACCUCCGCCAUAGACAGGAGCCAAGCAUAGUGGCGUGCACCUGUCUGUAGUUCCAGCCUCUUAGGAGGCUGAGGCAGGAGGGUUGCUUGAGGCCAGGAGUUUGAGUCUAGCUUGGGCAAUAUAUUGAAACCUUGUCUCUUAAAAAAAAAAAAAAAAGAGGCCAGGUGUAGUGGCUCACGCCUGUAAUCCCAGCACAUUGGGAGGCCGAGGCAGUGGAUCACUUGACCCCAGGAGUUGGAGACCAGCCUGGGCAACAUGCAAACUUCCGUCUUCUAGGCCGGGCGCGGUGGCUCAACACCUGUAAUACCAGCACUUUGGUAGGCCGAGGCGGGCAGAUCACGAGGUCAGGAGAUCGAGACCAUCCUGGCUAAGGUGAAACCCAGUCUCUACUAAAAAUAAAAAAAAAAUUAGCCGGGUGUGGUGGCUGGCACCUGUAGUCCCGGCUACUUGGGAGGCUGAGGCAGGAGAAUGGCAUGAACCCAGGAGGUGGAGCUUGCAGUAAGCCGAGACCGCACCACUGCACUCCAGCCCAGGCAACAGAGCUAGACGCCCUCUCAAAUAAAAGUAAAUAAAUAAAUAAAAUUAUGUCAUUAAAAAAAAAUACAGGGCCGGGCGCGGUGGCUCAUGCUUGUAAUCCCAGCACUUUGGGAGGGUGAAGCGGGUGAAUCACGAGGUCAGGAGAUGGAGAGCAUCCUGGCUAACACAGUGAAACCCCGUCUCUACUAAAAAUACAAAAAAUUAGCCGGGCAAGGCAGCGUGUGUCUGUAGUCCCAGCUGCUGGGGAGGCUGAGGCAGGAGAAUGGCAUGAACCCAGGAGGCAGAGCUUGCAGUGAGCCAAGAUCCCGCCACUGCACUCCAGCCUGGGCGACAGAGCGAGACUCGGUCUCAAAAAAUAAUAAUUAACAAAAAAAAAUACAAAAGUUAGAUGCGCAUGUUGCCAUAUGCUCGUGGUCCCAGCUACUCGGCAAGCUGAGGUUGGGAGAUCACUUGAGCCCAGAAGGUGGAGGUUGCAGUGAGCUGAGAACCCACCAUUGUACUCCAGCCUGCGUGUCAGUGAGAUUCUGUCUCAAAAAAAAGAAAAGAAAAAAAAUCUAGGCUAUGCUCCCUAGUAUGGGAAAUCUAGUCUAGUCAUUUGGCAGAAUCAGGCUUUGCGGGCCAUAUUGUCUCUGUCGUAACUACCAACUCUGCUGGUUAAAAGGGAAGUAGCCACAAACAAUGUCUGAAUGAUGGAUUAUGGCUGUGUUCCAAUAAAACUUUAUUUGCAAAAACAGGUUGCUGGUUGCAAGGUAGUUUUCCAACCUCUACGUGAUUCUCAGACUUUAGGUUGCAUCAUAAUCACCUGGAGGGCUUGUUCAAACGCAGAUUGCUGGGCCCCACCCCCAGAAUUUUUUAUUCAGCCAGUCUGGGGUGGGGCUGAUAUUUGUAUGUCUAACAACUUUCCAGGUGAGGCUGGUUGAUGAUGGUCUGGAAACCACUUUGAAAACCUCUGAAGCUUUUCUCAACUCCCUUUGUGUACCUAAAACACUUUAUCCCUACUGUAGAUGUAGUAUUUAGCGUGUUAUAUUAGUUUAGUGAUUGGUGUGUGGGUCUCUGGGAGCCUUUCUGAAUCACCUCCCUAGCCUAGUGCCUGACAAUAGCAAUUUGCUCCCCAUUCAUUGACUGAACUGAAACCAGAGGGUCAUGGUCAUCAUCAUUGUUCCAAGCCAUAGAUAGAAGAUGAAGUCACCACCCCCGAUCUCAGAGCUCAUCAGAGUAGAGCUUGGGCUGGACUAUGCCCUUCUCUGCAGUGAGCAGUUUUCUCUGUGGAGCUCUGCAACCUGGAGCCAGCCCUGCCUGGGGUUUCUUCAGUGUUAACCGUGUUCAUCACAUUGAUGUGCUGUUUCACUUCAUGCUGUGUGAUGUGAACUUCGGCCAGAGCAAGGAGAAAGCAGUAUAUACUCUGAAAAGGACCCCGCACCGUGUUCACCCAAACAGCACCUCGUCAUGCAUCUCAGAGCCCUCGGCCUCUGGGCCACCUCCUCACUCCCCCAGGGGUGCUCUGAAGCCUUAAACAGUCUGCUUUUCUUUUUCUUUUCUUUCUUUCUUUCUUUUUUUUUUUUUAACAGAGUCUCGCUCUUGUUGCCCAGGCUGGAGUGC
RNAcentral lists this long non-coding RNA (4071 nucleotides) under Homo sapiens (human). RNAcentral describes it as "non-protein coding lnc-MARCH10-8:6". The record is from RNAcentral. Lineage: Eukaryota; Metazoa; Chordata; Mammalia; Primates; Hominidae.